AGCAGCUGUCCAGGACUCUUCCAGUGCCACAUUGGGACUGCUGAGAUCUCCAACCUCGUGUAUUGAACAAUUACCAGAAUCUUGGCCUUUCCGGUCAUUGUUGUUGGACUACCCACUUAGACUGCAUCCUAGCACCUGCGUCCUACUAUUUCUUGUUAUGCAAUUACUGCUCCCCAUUCCGCCUCCAUAGUGUCUUAUUGAUUUCCUGGUGUACGCAAUUAAUACAGAGUUCUCCCAUACUGAUUUCCAUAGUGG
Long non-coding RNA from Microtus oregoni (creeping vole), 255 nucleotides. RefSeq lists it as uncharacterized. The transcript has 3 exons. The record is from RefSeq and is a predicted model, not a curated record. Lineage: Eukaryota; Metazoa; Chordata; Mammalia; Rodentia; Cricetidae.